Molecule: ribosomal RNA, 861 nt
Filed under: uncultured Staphylococcus sp.
Lineage: Bacteria; Bacillati; Bacillota; Bacilli; Caryophanales; Staphylococcaceae
Description: bacterial SSU rRNA
Rfam family: Bacterial small subunit ribosomal RNA
Source: RNAcentral
CGCUGGCGGCGUGCUAAUACAUGCAAGUCGAGCGAACGGACGAGAAGCUUGCUUCUCUGAUGUUAGCGGCGGACGGGUGAGUAACACGUGGAUAACCUACCUAUAAGACUGGGAUAACUUCGGGAAACCGGAGCUAAUACCGGAUAAUAUUUUGAACCGCAUGGUUCAAAAGUGAAAGACGGUCUUGCUGUCACUUAUAGAUGGAUCCGCGCUGCAUUAGCUAGUUGGUAAGGUAACGGCUUACCAAGGCAACGAUGCAUAGCCGACCUGAGAGGGUGAUCGGCCACACUGGAACUGAGACACGGUCCAGACUCCUACGGGAGGCAGCAGUAGGGAAUCUUCCGCAAUGGGCGAAAGCCUGACGGAGCAACGCCGCGUGAGUGAUGAAGGUCUUCGGAUCGUAAAACUCUGUUAUUAGGGAAGAACAUAUGUGUAAGUAACUGUGCACAUCUUGACGGUACCUAAUCAGAAAGCCACGGCUAACUACGUGCCAGCAGCCGCGGUAAUACGUAGGUGGCAAGCGUUAUCCGGAAUUAUUGGGCGUAAAGCGCGCGUAGGCGGUUUUUUAAGUCUGAUGUGAAAGCCCAUGGCUCAACCGUGGAGGGUCAUUGGAAACUGGAAAACUUGAGUGCAGAAGAGGAAAGUGGAAUUCCAUGUGUAGCGGUGAAAUGCGCAGAGAUAUGGAGGAACACCAGUGGCGAAGGCGACUUUCUGGUCUGUAACUGACGCUGAUGUGCGAAAGCGUGGGGAUCAAACAGGAUUAGAUACCCUGGUAGUCCACGCCGUAAACGAUGAGUGCUAAGUGUUAGGGGGUUUCCGCCCCUUAGUGCUGCAGCUAACGCAUUAAGCACUCCGCCUGGG